Molecule: long non-coding RNA, 430 nt
Filed under: Trifolium pratense (red clover)
Lineage: Eukaryota; Viridiplantae; Streptophyta; Magnoliopsida; Fabales; Fabaceae
Description: long non-coding RNA (TPRA_LNC006180)
Source: RNAcentral
AAGUGACGACAUUCAGUUAUUUGAGUAUUUUUAAUUAUUAUUUUACAGUAUUUUAGUUAGUUUUAGAAGUAUUACAUGGUCACAAAGAAGAAUUUAUGAAGAAAUUGACAUUUAAAAGAGUUUGAAGACUAAAGACCAAAGGAGAUAAAACUUAGAAAAAAAUUCAAGUUUUAGAAGUAAGUCUCGCGUGAGUUCUCUGUUUUUCUCGCGUCGCGACAAGUUUUCAAUAGGGGUGCGAUUUCAUGUUCCCACAAGCACAUGAUGUCAGCCACGCGUCACCUAGGGAGACAACUUGCAACAGCAUGACACGAUUUGAUUACUUAUGAAUGACGUGUUAGUCAAAUCCAAUUUGUGGGAUUUGAUCUAAAUUUAUAUGGCACAAUUUUAACACGUUAUGCAGCCUAUAUAUAGGCCUUUUGAUCAUAGAAAA